UUACUCACAGUCAGCUCGGUA
Molecule: non-coding RNA, 21 nt
Filed under: Caenorhabditis elegans
Lineage: Eukaryota; Metazoa; Nematoda; Chromadorea; Rhabditida; Rhabditidae
Source: RNAcentral